UUGCAGAAAGCUAAGUAUCAACCAUGCCCGAAUAAUGAGCGGAUGCUUUGCAGAUUUUGUCUUCUGUAGACUGAAUACUGCUAGUGACAAUAUUACCCAGGAGAGCACCUGUAUGCCUUCACCCAGAACAAAAGGAGUUGUGGUCUUCAACCUCUGCCUGCACCAUCUGAUUCUCUUGAACAGAUACUGAGCCACGAUGCUCGUGAUAAAUACAAGUUGUAUCAAUACAAAAGUGCUAGUCCAGAAACAAGGGGAAUAUACUUCUGGCCAUUGUCGCAGAAUCCAUUGGUUUGCAGGCCCAGAAAAGCAAUACCAAAGGAGCGGGGGCUGAGGAAAGCCAUGCAGUGCAAUCGGACUCGAGGAGAGGAGGAGAAUCGGACGCAUGGAUGGAUGAACCCGCCGUGUGCAUGCAGGCGGGAUGGGGAAUGGA
Triticum dicoccoides is the source of this 430-nucleotide long non-coding RNA. RefSeq lists it as uncharacterized. NCBI's taxonomy places the organism in Eukaryota, Viridiplantae, Streptophyta, Magnoliopsida, Poales, Poaceae. The transcript has 3 exons. The record is from RefSeq and is a predicted model, not a curated record.